Molecule: non-coding RNA, 46 nt
Filed under: Trichobilharzia regenti
Lineage: Eukaryota; Metazoa; Platyhelminthes; Trematoda; Strigeidida; Schistosomatidae
Source: RNAcentral
GUAUUAACGAAGAGUCCCAAACUAGGACGAAACAGCUGUCCAGUAC